RNAcentral lists this ribosomal RNA (334 nucleotides) under uncultured eukaryote. Its description in RNAcentral is "partial 18S ribosomal RNA". It matches the Rfam family "Eukaryotic small subunit ribosomal RNA", at positions 1470 to 1796 of the family's 1831-position model. The record is from RNAcentral.
CCCUUAGAUGUCCGGGGCCGCACGCGCGCUACACUGAAGGAAUCAGCGUGGCUUUCUCCCUGACCCGAAAGGGUUGGGAAACCCGUUGAAUCUCCUUCGUGAUAGGGAUUGGGGCUUGAAAUUGUUCCCCAUGAACGAGGAAUUCCCAGUAAGCGCGAGUCAUAAGCUAGCGUUGAUUACGUCCCUGCCCUUUGUACACACCGCCCGUCGCUACUACCGAUUGAACGGUUUAGUGAGGGCCUCGGAUUGGUCUCGGCCCGCUCUUUACCGGGCGGCGCCGUUGGUCGAGAAGACGCUCGAACUUGAUCGUUUAGAGGAAGUAAAAGUCGUAACA